Molecule: ribosomal RNA, 675 nt
Filed under: uncultured archaeon
Lineage: Archaea
Description: bacterial SSU rRNA
Rfam family: Archaeal small subunit ribosomal RNA
Source: RNAcentral
UGCUGGAAUUCUUUAUGCGUGAAAUGGAUUCGUCUGCCCAAGGAUGGGUCUGCGGCCUAUCAGGUAGUAGUGGGUCUAAUGUACCUACUAGCCGACGACGGGUACGGGUUGCGAGAGCAAGAGCCCGGAGAUGGAUUCUGAGACAUGAAUCCAGGCCCUACGGGGCGCAGCAGGCGCGAAAACUUUACAAUGCGGGAAACCGUGAUAAGGGGACACCGAGUGCCAGCAUUAUAUGUUGGCUGUCCGGGUGUGUAAAAUACACCUGUUAGCAAGGGCCGGGCAAGACCGGUGCCAGCCGCCGCGGUAACACCGGCGGCCCGAGUGGUGAUCGUGUUUAUUGGGUCUAAAGGGUCCGUAGCCGGUUUGGUCAGUCCUCCGGGAAAUCUGACGGCUUAACCGCUAGGCUUUCGGGAGAUACUGCCAGACUUGGAACCGGGAGAGGUAAGAGGUACUACAGGGGUAGGAGUGAAAUCUUGUAAUCCCUGUGGGACCACCUGUGGCGAAGGCGUCUUACCAGAACGGGUUCGACGGUGAGGGACGAAAGCUGGGGGCACGAACCGGAUUAGAUACCCGGGUAGUCCCAGCCGUAAACGAUGCUCGCUAGGUGUCAGGCAUGGCGCGACCGUGUCUGGUGCCGCAGGGAAGCCGUGAAGCGAGCCACCUGGGAAGUACGGC